AACUUCCUGGUGCUCACGCUGUUCUGCCGGUACCGGGCUCUGCGCACGCCCAUGAACCUCCUGCUGGUGAGCAUCUCUGGGAGCGACCUGCUGGUCAGCGUGCUGGGCACCCCGUUCAGCUUCGCGGCCAGCACCCAGGGGCGGUGGCUGAUCGGACGCGCUGGGUGCGUGUGGUACGGGUUCGUUAACGCAUGUUUGGGAAGUGACAGCAGGAGGACACGCUGAGCAGCAGUCAACUGCUGACGUGCCCCUGAUGUCAUUUGGAUCAACACGCCGAUACUCAACUGCUCGGAUGACUCAUCGCUCCAAGGACUCGAGACGCGAUAUUCAGCUCGACAUCAGUCUCGCACAAUCAAUCGACACUCAGCUGGAAGCCGGAACCUGUGAUUGUUGCAGAUUGAUCGCUCGGGACUCACCUGCCCCAGUUCCACCUGGCACAGCAAUCAAAAGGAUGAACUUUAUUCAAGACAUUACUGGGAAGUCUGUCAGUGAAGAUGUACUUAUUUCCUAAACCAUGGACAAGCACCUUGGGAAAAUUCAUUCAAAGCUUUUCAUUAUGUCGUCUACUGUAUACAAUA
Molecule: long non-coding RNA, 578 nt
Organism: Xiphias gladius (swordfish)
Lineage: Eukaryota; Metazoa; Chordata; Actinopteri; Istiophoriformes; Xiphiidae
Exons: 4
Source: RefSeq, a predicted model, not a curated record